UUUUAGGAUUUGAUAAGGUUUUAGAAUAGGAUAUGAUUAGGAUUUAAGAUUUGAUUUGGACAUGGUCUAGAAAUUGGUUAGGAUUUAGAAUUUGAUUAGGAUUUGGUUUAAGAUUAGAUUAGAGUUUGGUCUAAGAUUUGAUUAGGAUUUUAUUAAGAUUUAUUAAGAUUUUAUUAAAGUUCGUUUAAGAUUUAGAAUUUGGCUAGGAUCUAAUUAGGAUUUGAGCAAAGUUUACUUAGAUUUUACUUAGGAUUUAUUUUAGAUUUUUAUUUUUAUUUUCUUUAGAUUUUUUUAAAAAAAAUUUAAUUUCUGAUAUUUU
Molecule: long non-coding RNA, 319 nt
Filed under: Physcomitrium patens
Lineage: Eukaryota; Viridiplantae; Streptophyta; Bryopsida; Funariales; Funariaceae
Description: long non-coding RNA (PPAT_LNC004691)
Source: RNAcentral